CCUACGGGAGGCUGCAGUGAGGAAUAUUGGUCAAUGGCCGGAAGGCUGAACCAGCCAUGCCGCGUGAAGGUCAGUGCCCUAUGGGCGUUAAACUUCUUUUGUGCGGGAGCAAUAAUGGUCACGUGUGGACAUUCGAGAGUACCGUACGAAUAAGCAUCGGCUAACUCCGUGCCAGCAGCCGCGGUAAUACGGGGGAUGCAAGCGUUAUCCGGAUUUAUUGGGUUUAAAGGGUGCGUAGGCUGGGAGGUAAGUCAGCGGUGAAAUGCCCCCGCUCAACGGGGUGAAGUGCCAUUGAUACUGCCUGGCUGGAAUGCGGAUGCCGUGGGAGGAAUGUGUGGUGUAGCGGUGAAAUGCAUAGAGAUCACACAGAACACCGAUUGCGAAGACAUCUCACGAAUCCGCGAUUGACGCUGAUGCACGAAAGCGUGGGUAUCAAACAGGAUUAGAUACCCGAGUAGUC
RNAcentral lists this ribosomal RNA (460 nucleotides) under uncultured bacterium. RNAcentral describes it as "partial 16S ribosomal RNA". It matches the Rfam family "Bacterial small subunit ribosomal RNA", at positions 338 to 795 of the family's 1533-position model. The record is from RNAcentral.